UCCCCCUUCAAUGGGCAACGGGGCACCUGGUUGGUGGUGUUGUUCUUAGAUCAGUCAGGGGCAGAGCAGAUGGCAAUCCUUUGCUCAUUCUAGUUUGAUGCCUAGCUUGGUGGCCAAAGAUGUUUUAUGCUUAAGGCACAUAA
Small nucleolar RNA from Psammomys obesus (fat sand rat), 143 nucleotides. RefSeq annotates it as small nucleolar RNA SNORA48. Lineage: Eukaryota; Metazoa; Chordata; Mammalia; Rodentia; Muridae. The record is from RefSeq and is a predicted model, not a curated record. The transcript has a single exon.